RNAcentral lists this transfer RNA (75 nucleotides) under Streptomyces chartreusis. RNAcentral's name for it is "tRNA-Cys(gca)". It matches the Rfam family "tRNA". From Rfam's summary of the family: Transfer RNA (tRNA) molecules are approximately 80 nucleotides in length. Their secondary structure includes four short double-helical elements and three loops (D, anti-codon, and T loops). Further hydrogen bonds mediate the characteristic L-shaped molecular structure. tRNAs have two regions of fundamental functional importance: the anti-codon, which is responsible for specific mRNA codon recognition, and the 3' end, to which the tRNAs corresponding amino acid is attached (by aminoacyl-tRNA synthetases). tRNAs cope with the degeneracy of the genetic code in two manners: having more than one tRNA (with a specific anti-codon) for a particular amino acid; and 'wobble' base-pairing, i.e. permitting non-standard base-pairing at the 3rd anti-codon position. Lineage: Bacteria; Bacillati; Actinomycetota; Actinomycetes; Kitasatosporales; Streptomycetaceae. RNAcentral also lists the same sequence under 19 other names. The record is from RNAcentral.
GGCCGUGUGCCCGAGUGGUUCAGGGAUUCGCCUGCAAAGCGAAUUACGCGGGUUCGAUUCCCGCCACGGCCUCCA